This is a transfer RNA of Cavia porcellus (domestic guinea pig), 64 nucleotides long. It matches the Rfam family "tRNA". Rfam says of the family: Transfer RNA (tRNA) molecules are approximately 80 nucleotides in length. The record is from Rfam. NCBI's taxonomy places the organism in Eukaryota, Metazoa, Chordata, Mammalia, Rodentia, Caviidae.
GGGGGUUUAGCUCAGUGGCAUAAGCGCCUGCCUUGCAAGCAGGUGGUCGUGAGUUCGAUCCCCG